GUUGAGCCGGCCGCGCAGCCCCUUGUUCGGCCACCUGAGCCUGAGUGGCCCUCCUAGGACAAUCCUUAAUCCUAUGCUACUUAGACCCACAACGAAGACAAGCCCCAGAACGCUUCCAGCACUCUCCUUGAUGCAUUCUGCCGUAAUCCCCAUAACCUUGCGGUCUACCUGUGUUCACCGGAACUGCUCAAACCGGUUCCUC
This 202-nucleotide long non-coding RNA is filed under the name Gossypium barbadense (sea-island cotton). RNAcentral describes it as "long non-coding RNA (GBAR_LNC012422)". The record is from RNAcentral. Lineage: Eukaryota; Viridiplantae; Streptophyta; Magnoliopsida; Malvales; Malvaceae.